UGGACCGGUGAUGAGCAACAUGGGGGUAUCUGAAACAGGAGUUCUGAUUAAACCCACACGCAACUCUGAGGUCCAC
Artibeus jamaicensis (Jamaican fruit-eating bat) is the source of this 76-nucleotide small nucleolar RNA. RefSeq annotates it as small nucleolar RNA SNORD113/SNORD114 family. The transcript has a single exon. The record is from RefSeq and is a predicted model, not a curated record. NCBI's taxonomy places the organism in Eukaryota, Metazoa, Chordata, Mammalia, Chiroptera, Phyllostomidae.